Heterocephalus glaber (naked mole-rat) is the source of this 4377-nucleotide long non-coding RNA. RefSeq lists it as uncharacterized. NCBI's taxonomy places the organism in Eukaryota, Metazoa, Chordata, Mammalia, Rodentia, Bathyergidae. The record is from RefSeq and is a predicted model, not a curated record.
GGCAAGAUGCAAAUGGUGGUGGGGAGGGGGGAAAACCGAGAGAGAGAAAGCCCAAGGGGCAGUCGUGGGGAGCCGGAGACCCGGGCCAGGAGCGGGGCUUGCCAGGGCCUAUUGUACUCACGCUGCGGGGCUGAAGACCUUCUUUUGCGGGUUCUGUUUAUCAGCUAAACUUUAGCUGACCUUUGGACUUGUUAAAGCAAGUGGCUUCUAGCCUAGGUGCGGGGAUUUUUCCACUGGCCUGAAAGAAGAAACUGCGCUUCUGGGGUUCAGAUGAGAGCGGGAGAAAAUCGAAGUGCUCUUGGAAAAAGAUGGAGGAGGAUGCGAAAAGUACAGAACUUCCAAGGCGUGCACAGGUGGACUGUGGGCCGCGAUAGCGUGGGCAAGGGUGAAGGAGUUACCGACUGAUUUAUGACCAGAGGGAGUAGCCGAAGCGGAGGUCCCCGUAGCAGCCAGAGCUGGACGCCUGGGUGCCGACCUCCUGUUUAUAACCGGAAUAUCAAAGCGCCUCCACUUUGGCAGCAAAACUAGGACGUUCCAGGACCCUCGCAGCACACGCCCACGGCCUGAGACACGUUGUGCAACUGCAAGGUCACUGCUCUAGUGCAUGCCAAGCGGAGAAGGCACCGACAAAAUCACUGAAGGAAAGAGGUUUUCCCCACCCAGACCUGGCCGGGAAGGAAGCCCUGGGCCCCUCAGCACUGCAAGAGUUUCUACCGCAACUCCCCUGGGGCGCCGAGGGGGAGGAAGGAGGCACCCAACUCACCCAAACCUACAGGCUGGGACCUGACUUGCAGAACCGGGGAAGGGGCUCCUGAGGGUCCAGCAUUCACUGACUCCUGGGGCAGAGGACACUUGCCUUGGACCCACAGUUUCCUUAUCUGUGAAAAAAGCUCCUGAUAGGUGCAGGGCAGCAGAGUUGUAUACAUUCAAUAAGACCACCUCGUUCUAAAAAUAGUGUGCACACUUUCCAGUCUGGGAAGGCAGUAGGCCAGUGAAACUCUAGCACUUCUGGAAGCUUAGAGUUCUAAGAAUUGGGGAGAGCUACAGUGGGGAUGGGAAGGACUGAGCAAUUAGGGACAAAAAUUAAGCAUCAGCAGGAAAAUUGCAAAGGAGCUUCCAAAUAUAUUCUCCUUUCUCUCCCACCUUCAAAGAUAAUUAGGAGAAACUUGAAUUUAAGCUAGGGAUAAGAGAGGAAUUUUAGCACGGAUGAGGAAGGGUCCAGCAACCUUCCAAACAGGUACAGAAUCAAACAUCCUGAGUGUAUGAAAGCUGAUGAUGUGGUUGAUCCAACUCAGGGUGUUAAGGGGGUGAGGAUGCCUUUUUAAAAUACAAAGUGGACAACAGAUGCCUGGGCCACCUGUCUUGGGAGCCAGGAAGAAAAGAGGUAGUCGUGUGCAUAGACCCCUGGGGAAGGUUUACACCUAUCUCAGUCCCUCUUCCCUGAGAAAGGGGUAAUAAGUCCACAGGAAUGAGGGCCCUUCAUUCCACCUCGUUUUCUAGCUUAUUGUGACAUAUAGCAGAUGCUUGUCUACUGUAAUGUUCUCUGUCUCCCCAGCUCCUCUCAGGCAGGAUGACAUGUUCAGAGUAAAUGUCCUUGGAGGACAAUCUCUCUCUCUCUCUCUCUCUCUCUCUCUCUCUCUCUCUCUCUCAUUAUAGAAGCAUCAAGUGUAAUGUAGAUGAGUUUCUUCCCCCACCCUCUUUCUCUUUUUUGUGGUACCAGGGAUCGAACUCAGGACCUUGCACUUUCGAGCCAGGCAGCAUCGGCACCACUGAGCUAAAUCCUGGGCCAAUCAGUUUCUCUUUUAACAACACAGCUUUGUUUUGUAGUUCUAACUACUGAGUAACCCCUUGGACUUCCAAGCCUCCUUUUCUCUCAAAAUUCAGGGACCGACAAUCCCAUUCUUCCCAAAACCUCAGCCACCCAAAUAAAGGUACAGAAAUUACACACAGAAUACAGUUGACAAUUCCUAUGAGUGUCCAGUUAUGUCUUCCAAGUAAUCUUGCCAUUCAUAUUCAGAAACUUCCUGUAAUCCCCUUCCCCAUACCUACCUUGUGUUUGUCACUCGGUGCUAUAGUAGGUGGUCAUCAAGUAGUCACAAUGACUGUGAACAGAUUCAGUAUCUACCCUAAAGAUAUCUUAAAAAGAAUAAGUAACUAACAGUGCAUCCUUUAGGGUGUAGGUCUUGGAUAUUAGCAUCUAAAUGAGUUAAUUCUUGAAACUCCUCAGUGAAACCUCCUUCUCCAAUAGAGGAAGACUUAGUAUGUCUGCAAUAAUCUUUGCUUACACUACACAUGGGAUAAACUGAGGAUAGAUUGAGGUAGUAGCCUCAUGUUAAAGAUGGGAAAAUAAGCGGGGCACUGUAGUUAGGGAGGCUGAGGCAGGAAAAUCAUUCUGGACAACUUAACCACACUCUGUCUCAAAAUAAAAUGAAAAGUGCUAGGAAUGUAGCUCAGUGGUAGAAUGUUUGCCUAGCAUGCAUGGAGAGUCCACAGAGAGGUUGCUUGUAGCCACUGGAGUAAGUUAAUGGGAGUGCUAUUUGGAGCCGGGCUUUAGGAUGAAAGAGGAGGGUCCCUAGCUUUCAUUGUGCUGGGAGGUGAGAGUUGAAAGGGAGAUUCUUUGGGGGCAGGGGGAGAAUACACAGUUGAAAACAGAGGGCAGGCUGGCUUUGGAGUCAAGCAGACCUAAAUGUGCUAAAGGAUAAUGAUGGUGUAUUGUGUUUUUGUGAAAAUCAAAUGCAUUAGCAAUUGCAAGUUCCUGGAGUAUGGCAGGCUCUUAUAUAUUUAGAAAAAAAAAGACACCAUGAAAUCAUGCUGCGUAGUGAGGCAACUAACUCAUCUCUUUGGGCUUUUAUAUUCCCAAGUUGUUUUCAAGAGUUACUGAAUUUGAAGAGACAGUAUUAGGCACUUCUACCAAUGAAUUUGGAGUCAGAUUCCAAGAUUUUCUAAGGGAGAUGUGGUCCCCGGUAUGAAAUCAUUUGAAAUCCAUUUGGCAUAUCACUUUAUGAAGGUUUUCCAAGCAUCAUGUUGGUAAUUUUACCAAAUGGUGAACUCACUUCCUCUGUAAUUUAUUUUCUUCAGUUGCUUACACAGUCUCCCCUCCUACCACCGUUACCACUUUCCAUGUUUAACUUUCUUUGUUUACAGAAGGGAGACCCUGCCUGGUCUUUCCAACCUCGGCUGUUCCACUCUCUAAGGCUUCCCAUCGAUUUGGCAGUGACUAGCAGGGCUCCAAGUGCAAUUAUCUCUAGAAUAAAACAUAAAUAUCAUUCUAUUCUGGUCUGAAGGUGAUUGGAGAGCUUACUGAUAGGAAAAAGUGUUGAAACCCAUAGAAUAUUCUAGACUCCAAGGUCAGGAGCCUGAGAUUCUAAUUCUGGCUAUAAUACUCCUUUCUGGAUGAUUCUUCACCUACCAAAGGCUUUGGUGAGCACCUCCUCCGGGCCUCUGAUUUUGGUUUUGCAAAAUGACCAGUUGGUUUGGACAAGCAUUUAAGGCCUCGAACUUUCCUAUUAUUUGAAAUGACUAAAAGGUCUUAAAUUACUGGGGUUCCCACUUCCAGGUCUUUGGCCAGAUGGUCCAAGAGCUCAGGACAAAUCUCUGAGUAGUGGUGGACAUGAGAUAUUUGACUAGCCCAUGAAAAAAUACACUACAGACUGUAAAGGUGCACAAGGGCUAGGGACCUUCUCAUGUCUUGCUCUACAGUGCCCGGAGUGGUGCUGAUAUACAGUAGAUGCUUAACAAAAUACUUGUUGAAUAAAUGAAGAAGUGAAUACUCUGGAUUAUACUGUUAAGGAUGAUUUUUUUGUUUCCUUAUUUAUACUUGUCAGAUUUUCUCAAUUGUCAGCAGUGAAAUUCUAGUCUAAAAAUAAUAUUUUUCCCCAGACACAAAAGGAUAUGUACCAUGUGAUCGCAUUCAUAGGAAUUUUAAAAGAAGGAAGAGUAAUCUACAGUGGUAGAAGUUUCUGGAGUGCUAGAAAGGUUCUUAGUUUUAAUCAGGAUGGGGGAUAUGUCGAGUCUUUACAUGUAGGAUUUGUGGAUAUUGCUGCAUGUAAGCUAUAACUUAGUAAAAGUAAUUUUAAAACAAGUCCAAAGUAUAAAAUGUAAGCAGCAGAAGUCACCUUCUCACACCUUCAACUGUUUACAGUUAAUACAUGGCCCUCCAGAAUCUUUUCUAUUCACCACAUAUAAUUGAUUGCCGUUAAAAUCUAUGCACUAGUAUAUCCCAGGAACCAGCAAACUUUUUUCUGUAAAGGGGCUAGAUAAUAAAUAUUUUAGGCUUUGUGGGCCAGAAAAUCUCUGUGCCAACUAUUCACUUUGCUAUUGUAGACAAUACAAAAAUGUGUGUGGCUGUAUUCCAAUAAAACUUUAUGGAUAAAAACA